AGUAACACGUGGGAAACCUGCCCAGAAGCGGGGGAUAACACCUGGAAACAGAUGCUAAUACCGCAUAACAACUUGGACCGCAUGGUCCGAGUUUGAAAGAUGGCUUCGGCUAUCACUUUUGGAUGGUCCCGCGGCGUAUUAGCUAGAUGGUGGGGUAGCGGCUCACCAUGGCAAUGAUACGUAGCCGACCUGAGAGGGUAAUCGGCCACAUUGGGACUGAGACACGGCCCAA
RNAcentral lists this ribosomal RNA (232 nucleotides) under uncultured Lactobacillaceae bacterium. RNAcentral describes it as "partial 16S ribosomal RNA". It matches the Rfam family "Bacterial small subunit ribosomal RNA", at positions 109 to 334 of the family's 1533-position model. The record is from RNAcentral. Lineage: Bacteria; Bacillati; Bacillota; Bacilli; Lactobacillales; Lactobacillaceae.